RNAcentral lists this ribosomal RNA (535 nucleotides) under Limosilactobacillus reuteri. RNAcentral describes it as "bacterial SSU rRNA". It matches the Rfam family "Bacterial small subunit ribosomal RNA", at positions 376 to 902 of the family's 1533-position model. Lineage: Bacteria; Bacillati; Bacillota; Bacilli; Lactobacillales; Lactobacillaceae. The record is from RNAcentral.
CGCAGCCUGAUGGAGCACACCGCGUGAGUGAAGAAGGGUUUCGGCUCCGUAAAGCUCUGUUGUUGGAGAAGAACGUGCGUGAGAGUAACUUGUUCACGCAGUGACGGUAUCCAACCAGAAAGUCACGGCUAACUACGUGCCAGCAGCCGCGGUAAUACGUAGGUGGCAAGCGUUAUCCGGAUUUAUUGGGCGUAAAGCGAGCGCAGGCGGUUGCUUAGGUCUGAUGUGAAAGCCUUCGGCUUAACCGAAGAAGGGCAUCGGAAACCGGGCGACUUGAGUGCAGAAGAGGACAGUGGAACUCCAUGUGUAGCGGUGGAAUGCGUAGAUAUAUGGAAGAACACCAGUGGCGAAGGCGGCUGUCUGGUCUGCAACUGACGCUGAGGCUCGAAAGCAUGGGUAGCGAACAGGAUUAGAUACCCUGGUAGUCCAUGCCGUAAACGAUGAGUGCUAGGUGUUGGAGGGUUUCCGCCCUUCAGUGCCGGAGCUAACGCAUUAAGCACUCCGCCUGGGGAGUACGACCGCAAGGUUGAAACUC